Non-coding RNA from Vicia faba (fava bean), 330 nucleotides. The record is from the annotation of a GenBank genome assembly. Lineage: Eukaryota; Viridiplantae; Streptophyta; Magnoliopsida; Fabales; Fabaceae.
AUGUCUGAGAGAGCUUAUAUCAGAUCUUAUAAUUCACUUCACAAUGGCAUUGGUGUCAAGUUGAAGCUUGAUGUGAGAGAAUUGGCUAUUCGAUUUGGUUGUGUGAGGAUUAUACCUUAUGUUCGCGACGGUCUCAAGCUUUAUAAGGAUAGGUUUCUUGCUUCGUUGUCGGCUGCUCUCCGUGCUAGUGCUGAUUUUACUCGUCCGGUGUUUAUGGCUGUUGCUUUUUAUUUAUCUGCAAAGAAACAAAAGCUUAAAGUUGAUAAGAUUAAGCUAAUUGAACUUUGUGGUACUUCUGAAUCGGAAUUUUCUAGUGUAAGUAAUUUUUAG